RNAcentral lists this ribosomal RNA (409 nucleotides) under uncultured bacterium. Its description in RNAcentral is "bacterial SSU rRNA". It matches the Rfam family "Bacterial small subunit ribosomal RNA", at positions 369 to 771 of the family's 1533-position model. The record is from RNAcentral.
GAAUGGGGGGAACCCUGAUCAGCCUGCCGCGUGUGUGAAGAAGGCCUUUUGGUUGUAAAGCACUUUAAGCGAGGAGGAGGCUACUCUAGUUAAUACCUAGGGAUAGUGGACGUUACUCGCAGAAUAAGCACCGGCUAACUCUGUGCCAGCAGCCGCGGUAAUACAGAGGGUGCGAGCGUUAAUCGGAUUUACUGGGCGUAAAGCGUGCGUAGGUGGCCAAUUAAGUCAAAUGUGAAAUCCCCGAGCUUAACUUGGGAAUUGCAUUCGAUACUGGUUGGCUAGAGUAUGGGAGAGGAUGGUAGAAUUCCAGGUGUAGCGGUGAAAUGCGUAGAGAUCUGGAGGAAUACCGAUGGCGAAGGCAGCCAUCUGGCCUAAUACUGACACUGAGGUACGAAAGCAUGGGGAGCAA